GAUGAAGAACGUAGCGAAAUGCGAUACUUGGUGUGAAUUGCAGAAUCCCGUGAACCAUCGAGUCUUUGAACGCAAGUUGCGCCCGAAGCCAUCAGGUUGAGGGCACGUCUGCCUGGGCGUCACAUAUCGUUGCCCAAUGCCUAUUGCAGUGCAAUAGGAAUUUCUAGGGCGAAUGAUGGCUUCCCGUGAUCGUUGUUGCCUCGCGGUUGGUUGAAAAUCGAGUCCUUGGUAGGGUGUGCCAUGGUAGAUGGUGGUCGAGUUAGAACGAUACCGAUCAUGUGCAUGCUCCCCAAAAUAUGGCCUCUAUGACCCACACGCGUCUUUUGACGCUCAUGACGAGACCUCAGGUCAGGCGGGGCUACCCGCUGAAUUUAAGCAUAUCAAAAGCGGAGGA
This 394-nucleotide unclassified non-coding RNA is filed under the name soil metagenome. RNAcentral describes it as "partial contains 5.8S ribosomal RNA, internal transcribed spacer 2, and large subunit ribosomal RNA". The stretch from base 1 to 122 matches the Rfam family "5.8S ribosomal RNA", at positions 35 to 154 of the family's 154-position model. The record is from RNAcentral.